Non-coding RNA from Picea glauca (white spruce), 875 nucleotides. The record is from Rfam. Lineage: Eukaryota; Viridiplantae; Streptophyta; Pinopsida; Pinales; Pinaceae.
CCAUUUUAAAAAAGACUUUUGUUGGAUGGACCCUAAGUGUCCCAUAUCCUAUGAUUCACACUUGUUGAUAGGCAGGAAGACUGAGGCUUUGUAGAGUGUCUCAAAAGCGUAAAGGAAAAAUUCCCUGAAGUCCAUGGCCUUGAUCAUGCCUAUAUUUGAGGGUCAUUUGAUCAUAUCAUAAUAUUUCCCAAAAAUCAAUCUCAAUGAAGAGGGUUUUGAAAUCAAGGAAACAUUUGAGGGCAUUCCAUAAUUUUUUUGCCUUUAAGCAAUAUCACAGACAACCUUCCAUCCAAAUUCAACAAAAUUGAAACCCAUUUUUGAGAGUUGUUGGUGCCUCAUCCUAUAACUGAUGAUAACGUUAGGAAAUAUGGAGAUGUCGUCGAGGCCCCCAGGAAGAGUUAUAUUUUCUUUUUAACAACUUUUCCACACUGAACUCGGCUCAACCAGACAUAGGGUCCAAUAGUUGGAAGAGCAUCACACAUCUUGUGGUGUCCUGUGUGCCCUCGAAGACCCAUGAAAAUCUAGAGGAACAACCUCAUAACCACAUCGGGUCUCCAAGGUGAAAAACCUCUGGUCAAUAGAACAAUGUAGGUAAGGGAAGUUGGCAAAAUGGAUCUGUAACCUCGGGAAAAGGAUUGGUUCUGAGGGAUAGACCUAGGGGUUUGCAUCCUCAACUCGUGGGUUGUUGGUAGUCUUCCCAUGGGACUGUCAUUGAUUAAUGCUACCUCCUUUUGAAUGGUAGUGCAACUAAUUAAUGCUACCUCCUUUUGAAUGGUAGAGAACCACCUAUCAUUCAUGAUCCAACACAUAGUAGUCAAGAAUCCCAUCCAUUGCUAAUUAUUGGGCUCUAAAGAUGUCCUAGAAACAACCUUAGU